AAAUAAGACAUUAUUAUCAAUACGGUAUUGAACCAUCACCAGAUUGUGGAUCCACAAUUAUAUUGUUUCUCUGUGAAAUAUCAUUUUUGGCAAGCAGCCUUUGAAUGAACUUUGGAAUGCCAUUCACUAUAAUAUAAAUGAUAUUUUAGUAAUAUCAGUUAUUGUGUGUAUAUAUAUAUAUUUUAAAGGCAAAUUUUAAAGUCUAAUUUGUUCUUAAAUGUAACAUUAUCAGGUGAAAUAUAUUAUCUAAUAAAUUAUUCCAUGAAAAAAUUCAGCAAAUGGCUGAGAGAAAAAAAAUCUUAGAUACAACAAGGUUGAGUGUAUUCUAAUAGCAUGUGGAUAAAUUACUCAAAUGUAUAAUCUAAGAGUAGGAAAAUAGAAUAUAAAGUGAAAUGGUGCAUACAUUAACAUGACAUGAAUUAUAUUGUUUUUAGAUAUAGAGUGUCUGUUUCUCAAUUUAUAGAUGGAUACAGAGGUUCAGUGAGUGCUUUCCUGGCUUCCUACUAUUAUGAAAACAGCCAAUAAUUAUCUUAAUACUUCCUGAAAUGGUCUACAAGUAACUCAAGUUGAUGACAACUUGAUUGGUGCCAAACGACUUGGCAAAGAGUCAGAGGCUUCUUUGAAUACAGCCAUUUGUGCUGACCUGCUCUGUAACUCAAUAUAAUGUGAUCUGACUGAUGCUGCAUAACGUUAGGCACCUAGUACCAAAUUGGGAAGCAUUGCUCUCUCAUUCUCAUCAACAUGAGAAAAAAUAUGGCUCUGAACUUUAUGUGUUGAAAGGGAUUCAUUUUCUUCUAGCUAUUUGCUAGUUUAACAUGAGAUCAUUGAGCCUGGAACAACUGGCCUAUGUAAAUGAGCCAGAUAUGCCCAGAGGGACUGUUGAUGCUUCACCAACCAGAGCCGAUAAAUGACAGAGAGUUGAAAACAUAGACAGGAUUUUUUCCAGGUGUAAUUUCCCUGUGAAGUGAUAAUUUAGCGAAAUCUACUCCUGUAUUCUAAAUAUCACUGUUUUUAAAGGCUCUUUAGUCUCAACUCUUUCCAUUCCUACCUGUUAUUAAGGACGAAAAGAUAAUCCACUUAUUUACUUAAAAUUAUCCUUAUGAGGUUGGGCAUGGUGUCUCACACCUGUAACCCAAGCACUUUGGAAUGCUGAGGCAGGAGGAUUGCUUGAGGCCAGAAGUUCAAGACCAGCUUGUGCAACUGAGUGAGGCCCUGUCUCUACAAAAUUUUUAAAAAUUAGCUUGCAUGGUGGCACACCUCUAGUCCUAGCUAUACAGGAGGCUACAGCCAGAGAAGAGCUUGCGCGGAAGCAUUUCCAGCUGCAGUGUACUAGAAUCACACCACGCAGUUCAACCCCAGCCGCAGAGUGAGGGGGUCUCCAAAAAGAAAUCCCAGUGACAUUUAUGGAAGUAGAUUAUUUCCCUAAACAUGCCAAUUUAACAAUCUUUGCCAAGCAGUAAACCGACAUGGUGGUGGGAUUUGGGACAGCAUGGCAUGACUUCUAGUUGUUAUCAUGGUGACAUUUUUGUGAGCUUUCUAUUUCAAUAUGUAUUACAUGGAUCAAUUUUUUUCUAUUUUGGUACAAUCUUCUUUUCAUUGCCACAUGAUGAACUUACUUUUCUGAAAAGUAUGUUAUUUUUAGUUGCUUAAAAAGAUCAUGUUGGCCAGGUGUGGUGGCUCACGCCUGUAAUUCCAGCACUUUGGGAGGCCGAGUCAAGUGGAUCAACUGAGAUCAGGAGUUCAAGACCAGCCUGGCCAACAUGGUGAAACCCUGUCUCUACUAAAAAUACAAAACAAAAAAGAAAAUAGCUGGGCAUGGUGGUAGACACCUGUAAUCCCAGCUAUUUGCGAGGCUGAGACAGGAGAAUCUCUUGAACCUGGGAGGUGGAGGUUGCAGUGAGCCCAGAUCACACCAUUGCACUCCAGCCUGGGCAACAAGAGCAAAACUCCGUCUCAAAAAAAAAAAAAAAAA
Molecule: long non-coding RNA, 1972 nt
Filed under: Macaca fascicularis (crab-eating macaque)
Lineage: Eukaryota; Metazoa; Chordata; Mammalia; Primates; Cercopithecidae
Description: lncRNA (ENSMFAG00000050971.1)
Source: RNAcentral